CUCACUGGGAAGACGCCCUAGGGAAGGUUGUCGAAGCUCCACAGUAGGCGAGCACCGCGGGUGUUCCUCAAGCCAAAAAAAUAAACCCCGGAACCGGGAAGAGGAGCCCUGCUCCUGAGGUGUGCCUCCGGCGCCCUCUACUGGUAUUUGGACCACCAUGGACAUCACUGAUUCAUGAUGGGGAUUCUCCUGACCUACUGCCUGCUAGGAUGAUCUUGCUCUGGCUUACUUGCUUUAAACUGGCUCACAGUUGGCAUUCCUUAAGGUGGAAAGCAAACCGCUUAAUACUGCCAUUUCACCAAGGCCCAGAAAUUUGUGGAAUCUUGUACAAGGUCUAAUUCAAGAAUUCAUUUUCUACAAGAAGUCUUCCUAACUAUUCAGCACUUGAUCAUUGCUUAGCUCUCCUGGCUCUUCAACUGCCUUGCCAGCUGGUGGGCACCAAAUACUUAGUCUUCACUGCCAUGUGAACAUCACACCUCCCUAAACAGAAGGGAAGUUCUUUUGUGUCAGUAUCUCUGAAUCCUGGCCCAUGGCAGGCAAUAUUUCAGAUGAUGAUGGUGGUGCAAUUAUAGAAAUUAUUCCCUCAAUUCACAUUACAAAUGAAAAUGUAAAGAUUCAGGAAGACCUAAGUGUACUGAAGAUAAAUUUGUCACCCAUUAUUAAUGGAAGCUUUGGCUUUAUCUACAAAUGUGAAGGAAGCUCCCUGAGAUAAGGGAUUCUGAUGCAAUAUGCAACAUGAACACCAACCCAUCAAGGCCCUAGACAAAAGAAUCCUAUGGAUA
Non-coding RNA from Oryctolagus cuniculus (rabbit), 782 nucleotides. Lineage: Eukaryota; Metazoa; Chordata; Mammalia; Lagomorpha; Leporidae. The record is from RefSeq and is a predicted model, not a curated record.